Molecule: long non-coding RNA, 527 nt
Organism: Girardinichthys multiradiatus
Lineage: Eukaryota; Metazoa; Chordata; Actinopteri; Cyprinodontiformes; Goodeidae
Exons: 2
Source: RefSeq, a predicted model, not a curated record
CUCUGCUCCCACACUCAGCCAGAGGAGCCCUGAUGAUGAACUCUCCAUCUGCAGAACGCCUGGUGGUGCAGCGACCCCAUCCAGAACCAGAUGGUCCGAGUCUUAGUCCGACAAGCUCCACUGGGGGGUUGGGGUCUCACAGCAGGAGCCAAGAGGGGCGCAGCUGAAUCUGAUCGGGCCUGAUUACCUCAACAGCACCGACACCACCAGAUGUUUGCUGACCUUCCAAUGAUCUCAUCCUGAUGAGGUUAAAGACAUGCAGUCAACAAUGUUGUUAAAAAGAUUUAUUUCAACAUAUAAAACUGUACAAUGGUGCAAUGUGAAGUAAAAAACACCUUUAUGUUGGAAAAUCUGUACAAAUGAAAGGAAAGAGUCGUGUUGCACAGUGGCAGAUUAUUCUUUCUGCAAAACACCACCUUCAACACAUCAUUUCUGCUUCUGUCCUUUGAGAUGGACCUGUGAUCUGAGGCUGAGGUUUAGUGUCGUCUUCUCCACUUUAAUAAAAAGGUUUCCCUCAUAGUUCUCCA